RNAcentral lists this small nuclear RNA (19 nucleotides) under Arabidopsis thaliana (thale cress). RNAcentral's name for it is "snRNA_10279". The record is from RNAcentral. Lineage: Eukaryota; Viridiplantae; Streptophyta; Magnoliopsida; Brassicales; Brassicaceae.
UAACGCAAUGUGAUUUCUG